AAGAGUUUGAUCAUGGCUCAGAUUGAACGCUGGCGGCAGGCCUAACACAUGCAAGUCGAACGGUAACAGGAAGCAGCUUGCUGCUUCGCUGACGAGUGGCGGACGGGUGAGUAAUGUCUGGGAAACUGCCUGGUGGAGGGGGAUAACUACUGGAAACGGUGGCUAAUACCGCAUAACGUCGCAAGACCAAAGAGGGGGACCUUCGGGCCUCUUGCCAUCAGAUGUGCCCAGAUGGGAUUAGCUUGUUGGUGAGGUAACGGCUCACCAAGGCGACGAUCCCUAGCUGGUCUGAGAGGAUGACCAGCCACACUGGAACUGAGACACGGUCCAGACUCCUACGGGAGGCAGCAGUGGGGAAUAUUGCACAAUGGGCGCAAGCCUGAUGCAGCCAUGCCGCGUGUAUGAAGAAGGCCUUCGGGUUGUAAAGUACUUUCAGCGGGGAGG
Molecule: ribosomal RNA, 444 nt
Filed under: Salmonella enterica subsp. enterica
Lineage: Bacteria; Pseudomonadati; Pseudomonadota; Gammaproteobacteria; Enterobacterales; Enterobacteriaceae
Description: bacterial SSU rRNA
Rfam family: Bacterial small subunit ribosomal RNA
Source: RNAcentral